MicroRNA precursor from Oreochromis aureus, 66 nucleotides. Lineage: Eukaryota; Metazoa; Chordata; Actinopteri; Cichliformes; Cichlidae. The record is from Ensembl.
UGCCGUUGGGCUGACGGUGACAGGACAGUGUUGGAGCUUUGUCUUGCAACGUUAACCUGAGGCACC